RNAcentral lists this ribosomal RNA (510 nucleotides) under uncultured bacterium. Its description in RNAcentral is "partial 16S ribosomal RNA". It matches the Rfam family "Bacterial small subunit ribosomal RNA", at positions 28 to 507 of the family's 1533-position model. The record is from RNAcentral.
GACGAACGCUGGCGGCGUGCUUAACACAUGCAAGUCGAACGAAGAGCGAUGGAAGCUUGCUUCUAUCAAUCUUAGUGGCGAACGGGUGAGUAACGCGUAAUCAACCUGCCCUUCAGAGGGGGACAACAGUUGGAAACGACUGCUAAUACCGCAUACGAUCUAAUCUCGGCAUCGAGGAUAGAUGAAAGGUGGCCUCUACAUGUAAGCUAUCACUGAAGGAGGGGAUUGCGUCUGAUUAGCUAGUUGGGGGGGUAACGGCCCACCAAGGCGAUGAUCAGUAGCCGGUCUGAGAGGAUGAACGGCCACAUUGGGACUGAGACACGGCUCAGACUCCUACGGGAGGCAGCAGUGGGGAAUCUUCCGCAAUGGACGAAAGUCUGACGGAGCAACGCCGCGUGAGUGAUGACGGCCUUCGGGUUGUAAAGCUCUGUUAAUCGGGACGAAAGGCCUUCUUGCGAAUAGUGAGAAGGAUUGACGGUACCGGAAUAGAAAGCCACGGCUAACUACGUG